Molecule: unclassified non-coding RNA, 1684 nt
Filed under: uncultured fungus
Lineage: Eukaryota; Fungi
Description: sequence contains 18S rRNA gene, ITS1, 5.8S rRNA gene, ITS2, 28S rRNA gene
Rfam family: Eukaryotic large subunit ribosomal RNA (bases 647-1684)
Source: RNAcentral
GGAAGGAUCAUUAACAGAGAGAGGGGGUCUGGUGCCUGGCGCAGCCAGGCGCGUGUGACCGGCAGGUCACUCGUGACCGCAGGUCACGUCUGUUCGUGGCCGCAAGGCCACGUCCGUUCGUGACCGCAGGUCACGGUGGUGGCCGCAAGGCCACAUCAUGACGCAAGUCACGCCUGGUCGUGUCAGUGCACCAGACUCUACUUACGCACCGUGCGGAGCGAGGGGGAUAUGUACAGAGUGUGUGGUCGUUUGACUGCCCUCUCACUGCGUGCCUCCUUGCCCCGCACUUGCACAUAAACUGUAUAUCCACUGACAUUUGACAAUACAUAAAUACAAAACUUUUAACAAUGGAUCUCUUGGCUCUUGCAACGAUGAAGAACGCAGUGAAAUGCGAAAAGUGAUGCGAUUUGCAUGAAUCUGUGAGUCAUCUAAUCUUUGAACGCACAUGGCGUGAUAUUGAGAAAUAUCGCAUACCUGUUUGAGAAUUGGAGUAAAACGUGGUCACAGUUGAUGAUCAGUGUGGUUCUGCGAGGCUACUUGCUGGACCGAAAAUCAUGGAGUGAAACAUACACGCGGAGGAGAGCGAGUUGCUUGCAAGUGGGCCCAGGCUCUCAAAAAGAGCGACUCGUUCCCCUCCCUUCAUAUUCAAUCUCAAAUCAGGCAAGACUACCCGCUGAACUUAAGCAUAUCAGUAAGCGGAGGAAAAGAAACUAACAAGGAUUCCCCUAGUAACGGCGAGUGAAGCGGGACGAGCUCAAUUUUGGAAUCUGGCAUGGGAAUCAUGCCCGAAUUGUAGUUUCACGAGGGCAGUCGGGAGGGAGCGGGUGGUUCAAGUCCUCUGGAAUGGGGCAUCGUAGAGGGUGACAAUCCCGUUGGACCAGCUUAACUCUUCUCUGUGCCUCUCUAAGAGUCGGGUUGUUUGGGAAUGCAGCCCAAAAGGGGUGGUAUGCGUCAUCUAAGGCUAAAUACUGGCGAGAGACCGAUAGCGAACAAGUACCGUGAGGGAAAGAUGAAAAGCACCUUGAAAAGGGAGUUAAACAGUGUGUGAAAUUGUUAAAAGGGAAGCGAGGGGAGGUAGUAGGGGAACGAGUCGGAAGACACGGCGGGCGCCAGCCCGCUGUGAGUCCCGACUUGUUCCAGUCAGGAGCUGUUUGGGGUGGGCUAGGAGACUGGGGGAAAGGUGGCAGUGGUCUUCGGGCUACCGCUUUAUAGUCCCCUUGGCUGGGCCCAGCUCGGACGGUUUGGUGGGGGUGUGUCAAUGGGGGGGCGACUGUACAGAUGGAGUGGACUAGACAGAAAUCUGGCUAGACCACCCCGUCUCGCAUUCUCCUCCCUCCGACCCGCUCCCCCUGACGAAAUGCCUUUCCACGACCCGUCUUGAAACACGGACCAAGGAGUCUAACAUUUGUGCGAGUAUUUGGGUGGCAAACCCGAAUGCGGAGCGAACGCGGAUUGUAGGAGGGGAAGAGAGAUCGACCCUGCACUACGGACCGAGGGGUGAUUCGUCACCCCCCGAGUCGGAGCAUAGCUGUUGGGACCCGAAAGAUGGUGAACUAUGCCUGGAUAGGGCGAAGCCAGAGGAAACUCUGGUGGAGGCUCGUAGCCGUUCUGACGUGCAAAUCGAUGGUCGAAUCUGGGUAUAGGGGCGAAAGACUAAUCGAACCAUCUAGUAGCUGGUUCCCUC